GGGGUUGUAGCUCAGUGGUAGAGUGCCUGCCUAGCAAGCAUGAGGCACUGGGUUCGAUCCUCAGCACCA
This 69-nucleotide transfer RNA is filed under the name Ictidomys tridecemlineatus (thirteen-lined ground squirrel). Its description in RNAcentral is "Spermophilus tridecemlineatus (thirteen-lined ground squirrel) tRNA". It matches the Rfam family "tRNA". From Rfam's summary of the family: Transfer RNA (tRNA) molecules are approximately 80 nucleotides in length. Their secondary structure includes four short double-helical elements and three loops (D, anti-codon, and T loops). Lineage: Eukaryota; Metazoa; Chordata; Mammalia; Rodentia; Sciuridae. The record is from Rfam by way of RNAcentral.